This 3924-nucleotide long non-coding RNA is filed under the name Linum usitatissimum (flax). RNAcentral's name for it is "long non-coding RNA (LUSI_LNC008003)". Lineage: Eukaryota; Viridiplantae; Streptophyta; Magnoliopsida; Malpighiales; Linaceae. The record is from RNAcentral.
CUGAUCAGUCUCGCAAGGAACUUCCUUCUUGAUCAAGUGGUUUGUUCCGUUGUAAGUGAGGAUGGCAUGGACCUUCUUGGUACUGUAUCCGCAGAUAUCAGGUCCAAACAUAAUGCUGCAGCCAACCACAACCGUAUAUCAACUAAAAUGUCGAGACAAAUCCAAGUCAACUCGAUAACAUGCAGUAAGAUUGAUCAAUAAUCUAAACCUGUAUGGAGUGUCACCGCCAAAUUUGGUCUGGUCAACAUCACCACUGAGCAACUUCAUGUAGCCACCACCGCAGUCAAGCUUCUGUUCAUGCUUGACAGAGAACUGGAACACCAGAGUUUUGUCCUUGUUGCUGAGUUCAGGGUACUCAGCUGAAAUAGCAUAGAAUCUGUAGUCUUCACUUGUCUGGAUACCUGCAUUAUAAAAUAAUGGAAUAUCCGAAUGUAAGAAUUCAAGAUCAAUGAAAAGUAAUACAUAUACCUGACGAGGAAUAUAACAUACCCUUGUCAUCAGCGUCUCCAUUCCAUUUUCCGGAGGUGUAAUUCCACUCUCCAGCCGUGUUCUCAUCCUUCUUCCAAUCAGAUUUAACCCAUCGUUUUCCCCACCCAUCUUUCAAUUCAAAAUCCAUAACCAAAACGGAUUAGAUCAGAUAAGAGUAUAAUUCUAAUACAAUCAGAUCCCGCGAUUUCAAAAAUCCGCCGGCAAUGGCGAUCUACUACAGAACUCCGAUGCAAUCACAUCAAAACAACCAAGCCUAAACGAUCCUUCCUCAGACAUACUAAUUCUUAAUGACAUACAAUGCAACCACGCAAUUCUAAGCUGAGAAAUGAUCAGAAAACACAGCACAAAACAACAUGAUGAUAAAAUGGCGAUCCGCGAAAGAAAUGACGAUACCUUCGAACUUCUCUUCGAAGAAGACAGUGGCGGAGGCGACUGCGAGGAGCGAGAACAGAAUCAGACAGAGCGAAUUAGGGUUCGCCAUGGCCGGAGCUGCGGAGUAAUCAAUCACGAACGAGAGUGCAGUUUGGACUGAAGUGAGUGAGAGAGAUAGCUGGAGCAUUUUAUAUGAGAUCGCAUAUUCGUUUCAACGGCUCUGACGGCGAUGGCUUCACAUACGCCGUCAACGCUCGACGUGGAUGACGGCAGAAUAAAGUAGCCAUUAGGGAGACGCCAUGUCGUCAACGUUUGUCAUUUCUGUUGACGUGGCAAAGGAGGAGUGGGUGUUGAUACCAAAUGAGCGUUCUUUGGCAGCUUGGGCCAGGGCUGUUGAUGGUCUCCACGUGGCGGAUUUUAAGUGGGGGAUAUGGGAUAGAAUUAAGUCAAGAUUAGGAGGUACAUUAAUUACCUUUAUGAUUUGGCGUUUCUCCAAAAUAAACUGAUCUUUAAUGACUCGAAUUAGUGUAAAUAGUGUUUGCAUAGUCAUUACUACGGUUUGAAGGUGUUUUGUGAGGUGCGACGAGCAAGUUCGUAAUCGAUGAUCCAAUCUUCUUCUUUCUAACUUACCAAUCUUGCAAAGAGGCUUAAGAACAAUGAUUUGCGGGAUCAACUCCACUAAUCUACCAAACUUUGUAGCAUCCAUGGAUUAUUUAUAAACGGCUUAAUUUCGAUCAUCAAAUCGUUUAAAAAACUCUUCAAUACAUUCAUAUCUCGUAGAUUCAUAAACGGGAAUAAUACGAUAUGCAACAAUUUUUCUCAUCGAUUCAUAAACCAUUCCACUGAGAAAUCAACAACUAAUCCCGCUACGGACUACAAGACAUGGUUCCAAAUUCUAAAUCAAAGCUCAGAGUAAAACCAAGUGACCACUGAAUCAUAUCAUCCACCGUAGGUAAAAACAGAAAAGAGGUGGGAAAAUGUAUAUUAAGCAGCAACGAGUGAAAUCACUUCUUUCUGGCUUGGCUUAGCUUCCUACUAACUCCAUCUCUCUUCCUAUAGCUCGUCCUGCAAAAAGGUGGUGAAAUGUAUGUUAUUAAAGCACGCAACCAACAGUUGUCGACUUCCACGAACUGAACGGUCAGUCCGGUUUGGUUCUAGAAUCGGGGAAAAGAAGUGUUUCGACUGGAAGAGUAUAACUUACAUGUACUCCCUCGUCAUCUGUUUCCUCCCCUUUGAGUUCCGAGUCAUCUUCGGCGUCGUCUUCUGCAGAGUCGUCGUCGUCGUCAUCAUCGGCCUGUGGGGAAAAAGAGAACAGAAACGAGUGGUGAGCUACCGUUCUUAAGAAGCCAAAGGUUUUUUUCAUUAGAGGUGAUACACUUACGUCGGUGUCAGCUGGAUCGCUCUUGGAUUCCUGAUGGCAUAAGGAUUCAAAGAUAUUAGACAAGAGAUUUAAGGAAUCAGAGGAUAAGAAAGAAUUAACUGUUAUGUAAACGAAGCAUAUAUACCUCCUCUUCUCUCUUCUUCUCAGCUUCAUCAAAUGCUGCCUUCUCAGCCUGUUAAUCCCAAACACAGAGUCGAUGAUUAACGUUUGUAAUAAACAGUUUUUUCAAGAGGGAUGGAGCUAAUUGGCGAUGAGAGAAAACUUACAUCUUUGUUCUUUGCCCAUGUUUCUUCGGCGAACUUCUUGGCGUACUCAGGAUCGUCGCAGAUCAAGACGUUGUCGAACAAGGUCCCGGAUUUCACCUGCCACAACUCAAUGCCGACGUACUUGAGGUUGGGGAAGACGUAGAUCUCGGGAUCGUCCUUGAACUCUGCAAAAGAACGAAAUGUUGGGCUCAUUACUAUCAUUUGUGUUUGGGUAAAAAUCAGUGUCUGGUAAAUCUUUUAAAUAAUUAACAAGGGGAGCGGUAAAAGGAAUAGAAGACAAACCUGGGUUGUCGAUCAUUGGAGCCUUCCACUUGCCCUUGUAGGCGGGGGUCUUAAUUUUCUGUUAUAAGUGGGUAAAUUAGGUACAAAAAGAAACAUGAAUUCGCGGUCAAGAUCUGUCUACUAAAUGAUCGAAUCCACAAACCUUUGCAGUCCAUGGACCUUUGUACUCAGGGUUGGGCAUGGUGGGGGCAGUCCACUCACCAUCUUCCUCAUCAUCCCAAUCUUCAGGCUACAGUUGGCAGACAGACAAAUCAAUCUCUAACCGGGAAUUGUUAAAACCGACUCAAACACAGAGAAUUUGUAAUAAGUUACCUUCUUGGCUUCAGGAUCGGGAAUCUCCUUAGGGAUGUCAUCAUAUCCCUACACAAGCAGACCAACGUAGUCACUUUCUAGCAACAAGUAACUGGGGAUUUGGUACGUAUAAAGAUUCACAUAUGACAUGCUUGAUGCUUUAUAGGUAGUUAGUAAGUUACCUCUGGCUUGAUGUCCUCAGGGUCAGCAAUGUACUCCUUGUCAUCCCAAUCCUCGGGCUGCAAUAAAGUCAGUCAGUCAGAUUUUCAUCGACACCGAAAUUUGAUUGAUCAACCAAUACAUUAUGCGAAGAAAUAGCAUACCUUCUUAGCUUCUGGGUCCUUGAUCUUCUUUGGCGGGAGAAGGCUCCAGUCAGUGUACAGACUGCCAGUUUGCUUCUCGACGUUGUCAAUAAGGAUACUGUAAGUGGCAUCCGGGCGGAUGAUGAAUGUGUAAACAUGAGAGAGCUGGUCAGUCUCACAAGGAACUUCCUUCUUGAUCAAGUGGUUUGUUCCGUUGUAGGUGAGAAUGGCAUGAACUUUCUUGGUGCUGUACCCACAGAUAUCAGGUCCAAACAUAAUACUGCAGCCAGCCAUGGAAAGCGAAUCAGAAAUGUGGACAUAAAACAAGUCAACCUAUGAAAAGGGUAGGUAUCAGCUGCCAAAUAAUUACCUGUAUGGAGUGUCACCGCCAAACUUGGUCUGGUCAACAUCACCACUGAGCAAUUUCAUGUAGCCACCACCACAGUCAAGCUUCUGCUCAUGCUUGACAGAGAACUGGAAGACAAGAGUCUUGUCCUUGUUGCUGAGUUCAGGGUACUCAGCUGAAAUAGCAUAGAAUCUG